Molecule: small RNA, 844 nt
Filed under: Arabidopsis thaliana (thale cress)
Lineage: Eukaryota; Viridiplantae; Streptophyta; Magnoliopsida; Brassicales; Brassicaceae
Description: ATSL066470
Source: RNAcentral
AAAUGUUAUAGAUUACAAACAUCCACAUCGACUGUAUUUAGGGAUGUCAAAAUCGGUCAAAAUUCAUGGGUUAAUUCAACUCAACUCAACCCAUGAACCCUAAUGAGUUGAAAAUUUUGACUUAAAUGAGUUGAUGGGUCAGAUGGGUUGAUGAGUCAAUUGGUUUGAUGAGUAAAAUGAGUUGGGUUGUAAUGGUUAAUGGUUUCAAUGGUUUACCCAAUUAACCCAUCAAAUUUUGUAAAAUUGAAUUAAACCAACUAAAAUCUCUAAACCAAUGCCAAUUUAAGUUUAACCAACACAUCUAAACCAAUUUAAUAAAAUUAAUAUUUUUCCAAAUUUCUUAAAUAUACAAGCGAUGCAAUUGAGAAAAAAUAAACUCGUAAUUUUUCCACCAAAAAACAUAAACCCGUGAUUUUCCCGCCAAAAACGUAAACCUGUGAUUUUCCCGCCAAAAACGUAAAUCCAUAAUUUUCCCGCCAAAAACGUAAACCCGUAAUUUUCCCGCCAAAAAUGUAACCCCGUGAUUUUCCCGCCAAAAACGUAAAUCCGUAAUUUUUCCGCCAAAAACGCAAACCCGUGAUUUUCCCGCCAAAAACGUAAACCCGUGAUUUUCCCGCCAAAAACGUAAACCCGAGAUUUUUCCGCCAAAAACGUAAAUCCGUUAUUUUUUCGUCCAAAACAUAAAUCCAUCAUUUUCCGGCCAAAAACGUAAAAACCUAUAAUUUUCCCGCCAAAAACGUAAAUCCGUGAUUUUCGGUACAAAAAACGUAAACCUGUAAAAAGUGGAAUCCGUAAAUAUCUUAAGUUUGAUGAUAAUGAAUUAAUCGUGAUAAUUAUUUAUUAU